This 460-nucleotide ribosomal RNA is filed under the name uncultured bacterium. RNAcentral's name for it is "partial 16S ribosomal RNA". It matches the Rfam family "Bacterial small subunit ribosomal RNA", at positions 338 to 795 of the family's 1533-position model. The record is from RNAcentral.
CCUACGGGAGGCAGCAGUGAGGAAUAUUGGUCAAUGGCCGUAAGGCUGAACCAGCCAAGUAGCGUGAGGGAAGACUGCCCUAUGGGUUGUAAACCUCUUUUAUGCGGGGGUAAAGGUGUCCACGUGUGGAUGUUUGCAGGUACCGCAUGAAUAAGGCCCGGCCAAUUCCGUGCCAGCAGCCGCGGUUAUACGGAAGGUCCGGGCGUUAUCCGGAUUUAUUGGGUUUAAAGGGAGCGUAGGCCGGUCUUUAAGCUUGCCGGGAAAUUUUGGGGCUCAACCAUGGGAGUGCGGCGCAAACUGGAGACCUUGAGUGCGCGGAAGGCAGGCGGAAUUCGUGGUGUAGCGGUGAAAUGCAUAGAUAUCACGAAGAACCCCGAUUGCGAAGGCAGCCUACCGGAGCGUUACUGACGCUGAGGCUCGAAAGCGCGGGUAUCGAACAGGAUUAGAUACCCUGGUAGUC